RNAcentral lists this ribosomal RNA (301 nucleotides) under uncultured bacterium. RNAcentral describes it as "partial 16S ribosomal RNA". It matches the Rfam family "Bacterial small subunit ribosomal RNA", at positions 509 to 807 of the family's 1533-position model. The record is from RNAcentral.
CAGUCGCCGCGGUAAUACGAAGGGUGCAAGCGUUAAUCGGAAUUACUGGGCGUAAAGCGUGCGUAGGCGGUUUGUUAAGUCUGCUGUGAAAUCCCCGGGCCCAACCUGGGAAUGGCAGUGGAUACUGGCAAGCUAGAGUGUGUCAGAGGAUGGUGGAAUUCCCGGUGUAGCGGUGAAAUGCGUAGAGAUCGGGAGGAACAUCAGUGGCGAAGGCGGCCAUCUGGGACAACACUGACGCUGAGGCACGAAAGCGUGGGGAGCAAACAGGAUUAGAUACCCCGGUAGUCCCUGUCUCUUAUAC